CCGCGUGUGUGAAGAAGGCCUUUUGGUUGUAAAGCACUUUAAGCGAGGAGGAGGCUACCGAGAUUAAUACUCUUGGAUAGUGGACGUUACUCGCAGAAUAAGCACCGGCUAACUCUGUGCCAGCAGCCGCGGUAAUACAGAGGGUGCAAGCGUUAAUCGGAUUUACUGGGCGUAAAGCGCGCGUAGGUGGCCAAUUAAGUCAAAUGUGAAAUCCCCGAGCUUAACUUGGGAAUUGCAUUCGAUACUGGUUGGCUAGAGUAUGGGAGAGGAUGGUAGAAUUCCAGGUGUAGCGGUGAAAUGCGUAGAGAUCUGGAGGAAUACCGAUGGCGAAGGCAGCCAUCUGGCCUAAUACUGACACUGAGGUGCGAAAGCAUGGGGAGCAAACAGGAUUAGAUACCCUGGUAGUCCAUGCCGUAAACGAUGUCUACUAGCCGUUGGGGCCUUUGAGGCUUUAGUGGCGCAGCUAACGCGAUAAGUAGACCGCCUGGGGAGUACGGUCGCAAGACUAAAACUCAAAUGAAUUGACGGGGGCCCGCACAAGCGGUGGAGCAUGUGGUUUAAUUCGAUGCAACGCGAAGAACCUUACCUGGUCUUGACAUAGUAAGAACUUUCCAGA
Molecule: ribosomal RNA, 616 nt
Filed under: Acinetobacter lwoffii
Lineage: Bacteria; Pseudomonadati; Pseudomonadota; Gammaproteobacteria; Moraxellales; Moraxellaceae
Description: bacterial SSU rRNA
Rfam family: Bacterial small subunit ribosomal RNA
Source: RNAcentral